This 1497-nucleotide long non-coding RNA is filed under the name Suricata suricatta (meerkat). Its description in RNAcentral is "lncRNA (ENSSSUG00005011910.1)". The record is from RNAcentral. Lineage: Eukaryota; Metazoa; Chordata; Mammalia; Carnivora; Herpestidae.
AGCUGAAGCGACAACAGUCUGACUGGAACCUAGCUCUGACAAUCAGCUGUGAGGAUGUGAUCGGGUAACUUAGCUUCACUGAAACAUAAGUUUCUCUCUUAGAAAAAGGGACAAAGACAUUACAACCAUUUGAGAAGUGAAUUGUAAGAGUGAGCUUUAUAAAACACGAGAGCUAUGCAAUCGAAACAUCAGUGGCGUUGUUAUCCUGCUGUCCCGGUGUCUGAGGGGCAGCUGGAGAUGCCUGGCUUCAGGAACCCCGCGGCCACGCUGUCCUCAGCAAGCUUCAGUUCCCGGCCUCUCAGGACCUGCUGUUUAUCUUGGUCUUCCUUUGCACUGGAGCAGUAUGUGUUUUCCCAGGAGGAGGAAAGAAAGGUUCCAUGUGACUGUUGCAGCCUGUUAUUAUGAGCAAUGGAGGGCUAUAGCUUUAACUAUACUUUCGGACACUUGCCUUUGUCAAUGAGGGCAAAGGCCAAGCAAUGUUAACCCAAAAGUCUGUGACGACAAGGAAAGGCUCUAGCAUGUUUGAAGAAGCUGUGACUUCUCUGUUCUGGGUGGCCUUGGAUUUGGUCAUCUUCAAGUUCAGACAGCCUUGUACAUCCUGCAUAUGGAUGAAGACCCAAAAAGGUUUUUGGAGAUCUGUUUGGAUGGGAUGGAGAAAGCUGUUGCUCUAAUGUUUGAAGCAGACGUCCUCGCCAUGUACAGGCGUGUGCUGUGCACAGACGGGAGCUUGUACAAGCAAGUGACAUUUACCAGCAGGAGCUUGUCUGGACAGCUAUUCACACAAUGUUAUGGACUAAAUGUUUGUGUCUUCCCGGGAAAUUCGUAUGUUGGAGCCCUCGCUUCCACUGGAAUGGUAUUAGGAGGUGGAGCCUUGGAAGGUAAUUAGAUUUAGAUCAGCUCAUGAGGACUGUGCCCCCAUGAUGGGGUUAGUGCCCUUAUAUGAAGAAAAGACAACACUGUCUUCUCUUUCCUCAUGCACAUGAAGAGCAGGCCCUGUGAGCACAUAGUGAGAUGACAGGACGCCUGCAAACCAAGAGCAGUGGGCACCUUGAUCUUGGACUUGCAGCCUCCAGGACCGAGAGAAAUAAACUGCUAUUGUUUAAGCCACCCAGUGUGUGGUAUUUUGUUACGGCAGCUAGAGCUAAGAUACAGAAGCGGAAAGUUUAGUCAUGUAAGUCUCUUCCCCUGAUUUUAAGUCCAGAUUCUGAGACUCAGACUUUCUGAGCCGUCCCUGGAAAAUCUGGUAUAAAAACUGUUCAGGCACUAAAAAAUAUGAAAACUGCCUCUGAAGAUAUUGCUAAAGCUCUCCUCUCCCCUAAAUUACCUCUGUGAGUUUACCCUCCUGGAAGAACUUCCUGAAAACUAGUGGCUAAGUGCUCAAAUGGGAAGGGGGAUGGCUGAGGGGUAAAAAACAGUUGCUAAUUGCAUCUGUUGUUCAUAGUUCUAUAUGUCUUUUACCUACCCACACUGAUACGCGAUAUGUAAUAAAGAAGCUCC